CUUUCAACACAAGCCCAAGGUAAGACAACUUCCUCAGGGUGACAGAAGCUCAGACCUCCGAGCUCGAGCCCUGAUGGGGGCACCAAACCCGAAUGGCCCCAGACGACUCUGCGGCCAAGAACGAAAAAGAUGGGUCGAUACGAUAGCAACUGGGUACCUCCGAACGACAAUGACAAAGGAAAGAAGUUUGACAGACAACAAUUCAACGCAAAGUGCAGACGAGGUAAUAAAAUCUCCUUCUCAUUUUUCAAUCAACAAGAUGUACGUUACAAGACUAGGAGGGCCAGAAAAGAAUACACUAUUACAAGGCUUGGAUACACGACUUGGAAGAAAUACACCGGAGACCACUUCAGGCUGUAAACUUCUCUUCCCGGUUCUGUCCAACCGCAUUUUUCAGUGCGUGUGAUAAACAUGCU
Molecule: long non-coding RNA, 416 nt
Filed under: Elaeis guineensis (African oil palm)
Lineage: Eukaryota; Viridiplantae; Streptophyta; Magnoliopsida; Arecales; Arecaceae
Description: long non-coding RNA (EGUI_LNC009432)
Source: RNAcentral